ACCUUGCCUCUUUCUAUUAGAAAUAUGCAAGUAUACCUCCGAGUUCAAGCAAGUCCAAGCCAAGCUCACCAAGCUCGGCCUAAUUAGCCACCCACUAGCCCUCACCAGGCUCUUGUGCUAUUCCUCAAUCUCUCGCUAUGCUGACAUUCACUAUGCUCAAUCAAUCUUUAAUCUUGACAAAAACCCAAAUACAUUUGCAUAUAAUGUGCUGAUUAGAGGCUAUGCUCGGAGUGAAAAGCCCGAAAUGGCCAUUUCUUUGUUUUAUAGUAUGCUUUGUAAUGUCAAUUCUGUG
Molecule: unclassified non-coding RNA, 292 nt
Filed under: Hevea brasiliensis (rubber tree)
Lineage: Eukaryota; Viridiplantae; Streptophyta; Magnoliopsida; Malpighiales; Euphorbiaceae
Source: RNAcentral